RNAcentral lists this ribosomal RNA (393 nucleotides) under uncultured bacterium. RNAcentral describes it as "partial 16S ribosomal RNA". It matches the Rfam family "Bacterial small subunit ribosomal RNA", at positions 523 to 918 of the family's 1533-position model. The record is from RNAcentral.
AUACGGAGGAUCCGAGCGUUAUCCGGAUUUAUCGGGUUUAAAGGGAGCGUAGGCGGACGCUUAAGUCAGUUGUGAAAGUUUGCGGCUCAACCGUAAAAUUGCAGUUGAUACUGGGUGUCUUGAGUACAGUAGAGGCAGGCGGAAUUCGUGGUGGAGCGGUGAAAUGCUUAGAUAUCACGAAGAACUCCGAUUGCGAAGGCAGCCUGCUGGACUGUAACUGACGCUGAUGCUCGAAAGUGUGGGUAUCAAACAGGAUUAGAUACCCUGGUAGUCCACACAGUAAACGAUGAAUACUCGCUGUUUGAGAUAUACAGUAAGCGGCCAAGCGAAAGCGUUAAGUAUUCCACCUGGGGAGUACGCCGGCACCGGUGAAACUCAAAUGAAUUGGCGGGG